GUGUCAGCAGCCGCGGUAAUACAGAGGUCUCAAGCGUUGUUCGGAUUCAUUGGGCGUAAAGGGUGCGUAGGUGGCGAUGCAAGUCUGGUGUGAAAUCUCGGGGCUCAACCCCGAAAUGGCAUUGGAUACUGCGUUGCUCGAGGACUGUAGAGGAGAGUGGAAUUCACGGUGUAGCAGUGAAAUGCGUAGAUAUCGUGAGGAAGACCAGUUGCGAAGGCGACUCUCUGGGCAGUUCCUGACACUGAGGCACGAAGGCCAGGGGAGCAAACGGGAUUAGAUACCCGCGUAGUCC
RNAcentral lists this ribosomal RNA (292 nucleotides) under uncultured bacterium. RNAcentral describes it as "partial 16S ribosomal RNA". It matches the Rfam family "Bacterial small subunit ribosomal RNA", at positions 505 to 796 of the family's 1533-position model. The record is from RNAcentral.